GAAGGGUGCAAGCGUUACUCGGAAUUACUGGGCGUAAAGCGUGCGUAGGUGGUUUGUUAAGUCUGAUGUGAAAGCCCUGGGCUCAACCUGGGAAUGGCAUUGGAUACUGGCAGGCUAGAGUGCGGUAGAGGGUAGUGGAAUUCCCGGUGUAGCAGUGAAAUGCGUAGAGAUCGGGAGGAACGUCUGUGGCGAAGGCGACUACCUGCACCAGCACUGACACUGAGGCACGAAAGCGUGGGGAGCAAACAGGAUUAGAUACCCUGGUAGUCCACGCCCUAAACGAUGCGAACUGGAUGUUGGGAGCAAUUAGGCUCUCAGUAUCGAAGCUAACGCGUUAAGUUCGCCGCCUGGGGAGUACGGUCGCAAGACUG
Molecule: ribosomal RNA, 371 nt
Filed under: uncultured bacterium
Lineage: Bacteria
Description: bacterial SSU rRNA
Rfam family: Bacterial small subunit ribosomal RNA
Source: RNAcentral